GCCAGCGUGGUUUAGUGGUUUGAGUGUUGGACUAGGACUCUGGAGACUAGGGUUCAAAUCCUGGCUCAGCCA
This 72-nucleotide transfer RNA is filed under the name Phrynosoma platyrhinos (Desert horned lizard). Its description in RNAcentral is "tRNA-OTHER". The record is from RNAcentral. Lineage: Eukaryota; Metazoa; Chordata; Lepidosauria; Squamata; Phrynosomatidae.